CUUCCAUACACUUACACCAGCAAUCAUUUCUCUAUUUUACUCAAACCACAUAAUUUCUCAUUAAUGGAGAGAAAAUGUUAAAAUGUUAUUUAAAGAAAAUAUUUGAAAGUCAUUGAAGUAACGUAGUUUUAAUUACAUGUCUAAUUUUAUGUAAUAGCUGUGUGUCAGACUGGAAGUUAUCACAAUGUCUGUAAGUAGUGUAUAGCAUUAAGACACAUAUAAAUGACUUUGAUAGCUUGCUGAGUACUGGUGACUAGAAGGGAAAAAAUUUGCAAUUUAGCAUGCCCCAGAACUCCAAACAAUCUAUGAAGCUUAGAGGGAAUUUUUUUCCAGAAUUAUAACAAGCUGGGAUUGUGACACCCACUUUAUAAAAUGUUAAUUCAAAAAGUUUCACUUAUAGGAAAUUAUAUGGCUGAGAGAUGUAUUUCUUCUGAUGGUUUCCUACCUGUGAAAUGUUAGAGGAUGAUGAGAGACUGCUCAUAAGAAAAGUUCAGCAGAUGGAAUGAAGUCUGCAGAUUGUCCAAAAAACGGAUUGGAGCCAGGCCAUUGAAAAUCUCAAAGCACAGAAGAAAACUUUCAUGUGGUGACAUCUUAUUGACAGCAGCAUUUGUGUCUUACUUUGGAACCUGCAUAAAACAACAUCACCAGGACCCAAAGGGACAUUUCUGGAUUACUUCUCUAAAGAAGGCCUGGACCCAGUUCACCACAUUGAGGGAUGAUGCUACGGCUGUGGCAUGGAGUAAGGAUGGUGAUAGGAUGUCAACAGAUAACACCACUCUUCUAACAAACUGUGCCCUUCAUAUGCUGUCAUCAAGUGAUGGGGAGGAAAUGAAGUGAAGGUUGAUGUGCACUUCUUGUGUGGGUCAAACGACCUUUUCAACAGGUAAGGUGCAAAGCCUGAUGGUAAAACCUUACUUAUACUCUACAGUUUCGUCAGCAG
This 940-nucleotide long non-coding RNA is filed under the name Zonotrichia albicollis (white-throated sparrow). RNAcentral describes it as "lncRNA (ENSZALG00000010863.1)". The record is from RNAcentral. Lineage: Eukaryota; Metazoa; Chordata; Aves; Passeriformes; Passerellidae.